Molecule: ribosomal RNA, 292 nt
Filed under: uncultured bacterium
Lineage: Bacteria
Description: partial 16S ribosomal RNA
Rfam family: Bacterial small subunit ribosomal RNA
Source: RNAcentral
GUGCCAGCCGCCGCGGUAAAACGUAGGAGGCGAGCGUUAUCCGGAUUUACUGGGUGUAAAGCGCGUGCAGGCGGUCUGUUAAGUUGGAUGUGAAAGCUCCCGGCUCAACUGGGAGAGGUCGUUCAAGACUGGCAGACUGGAGAGCAGUAGGGGAAGGUGGAAUUCCGGGUGUAGUGGUGAAAUGCGUAGAUAUCCGGAGGAACACCAGUGGCGAAGGCGGCCUUCUGGACUGCAUCUGACGCUCAGACGCGAAAGCUAGGGGAGCAAACGGGAUUAGAAACCCCCGUAGUCC